Molecule: long non-coding RNA, 333 nt
Filed under: Elaeis guineensis (African oil palm)
Lineage: Eukaryota; Viridiplantae; Streptophyta; Magnoliopsida; Arecales; Arecaceae
Description: long non-coding RNA (EGUI_LNC022208)
Source: RNAcentral
AGAUGUGUGGCACCUCCAAUACCUAUUUGGAACAUUGGACUCAUUAUAAUGCACCUUAAUGAGACGCUAUGAACAAGUUAUCCCUAUAACUGUAUCAUUUUAUGGACCUAAUAAUUUAGAGGAUUUGAUUUCAUUGAUCUGAGAAUAAGAGAAGAAGUUGACUUGCAAGUUGUAAAUCUUCUCACUGACUUCACCAAAUCAUAUAGAGGAUUAGACACAAGCUAGUCUAAAGACAUCUAAAUCAGUCAUACUGAUUAAUCUUGAUGGCAUGGGUCAGUACAAAUUGACUAGUAACUUAAUCAAAACAUAAUCUAUCAUAAUGGCCAAGCAAGU